This 501-nucleotide ribosomal RNA is filed under the name uncultured bacterium. RNAcentral describes it as "bacterial SSU rRNA". It matches the Rfam family "Bacterial small subunit ribosomal RNA", at positions 29 to 517 of the family's 1533-position model. The record is from RNAcentral.
AACAAACGCUGGCGGCGUGUCUUAAGCAUGCAAGUUGAGCGGCAAGGAGGAGAGAUCCUCCCUAGAGCGGCGGACUGGUGAGUAACGCGUGGGUAAUCUAUCGUAGGCAUGGGGAUAGUCACUAGAAAUAGUGGGUAAUACCGAAUACGUUCCAUGAGGGGAGUAUUCAUGGAAGAAAGGGUGCUACGGCACUGGCCUUAGGUGAGCUCGCGUCCCAUUAGCUAGUUGGUGAGGUAAAGGCCCACCAAGGCGAUGAUGGGUAGCCGGCCUGAGAGGGUGUACGGCCACACUGGGACUGAGAUACGGCCCAGACUCCUACGGGAGGCAGCAGCUAAGAAUAUUCCGCAAUGGACGAAAGUCUGACGGAGCGACGCCGCGUGGAUGAAGAAGGCCGAAAGGUUGUAAAGUUCUUUUGCUUAGGGGAGAAUAAGUGAGGAAGGGAAUGCCCUCAUGAUGACAAGGACUAGCGAAUAAGCCCCGGCAACUACGUGCCAGCAGCCG